RNAcentral lists this ribosomal RNA (863 nucleotides) under uncultured bacterium. Its description in RNAcentral is "bacterial SSU rRNA". It matches the Rfam family "Bacterial small subunit ribosomal RNA", at positions 65 to 925 of the family's 1533-position model. The record is from RNAcentral.
AACGGCAGCGGAUUUUACGAAAGUAAGAGGACGGCGAGUGGCGAACGGGUGAGUAACACGUAGGGAUCUACCCUUUAGCUGGGGAUAACGCGGGGAAACUCGUGCUAAUACCGAAUAGAGUCUAAGGAUAAAAGAUGGGGAGACCUGUCACUAGAGGAGGAACCUGCGUCCGAUUAGCUAGUUGGUAAGGUAAGGGCUUACCAAGGCGACGAUCGGUAGUUGUUCUGAGAGGAAGGACAGCCACACUGGGACUGAGAUACGGCCCAGACUCCUACGGGAGGCAGCAGUGGGGAAUAUUGGACAAUGGGGGGAACCCUGAUCCAGCGAUGCCGCGUGUGUGAAGAAUGCCUGAGGGUAGUAAAGCACUUUAGUUGGGGAAGAAAGCUGAUGGGGGAAAGACCAUGAGUAUGACGGUACCCAAAGAAUAAGCACCGGCUAACUCUGUGCCAGCAGCCGCGGUAAUACAGAGGGUGCGAGCGUUAAUCGGAAUAACUGGGCGUAAAGGGCGCGUAGGUGGUGAUAUGAGUAAUGUGUGAAAGGCCUGGGCUUAACCUGGGAAUUGCAGAUUAGACAAUAACACUAGAGACCGAUAGAGGGUAGGGGAAUUUCCGGUGUAGCGGUGAAAUGCGUAGAAAUCGGAAGGAAUACCGGUGGCGAAGGCGCCUACCUGGGUCGGAGCUGACACUGAGGCGCGAAGGCGUGGGAAGCGAACAGGAUUAGAUACCCUGGUAGUCCACGCAGUAAACGAUGAAUACAAGCUGAGGGUACGAGAAAGUAUCCGUAGCGAAGCGAACGCGAAAAGUAUUCCGCCUGGGGAGUACGGUCGCAAGAUUAAAACUCAAAGGAAUUGACGGGGGCCUACA